CUCCUUGUGCCAAAAGAAAGUCAUGCGUAAACCAAACUCCACCGUCCCUUUUAUUAUGAUUUCAUGUUGGUUUUUCAUGCUAAAAAGAAGGCACACAUGCCCCCUUUCUUAUUUGGUCGAGUGAAGCACAUGAGAGCUGUCCAGUAGUUGGACGCUCUCUCUCCCAAGCCUUAUCAGAUAAGGCUUCACCUUAUCCCAAUUAUUACAUGCCUAUUUAAGGGGUUAAGUGGGUGUGGGAAGAAGGUUAACAUGAAGAAAAGAAAAGAAAAUAAAGAAGAGGGCGUGGGGGUUUUUGGUGCAUGAGAUUUAGAGGAGAGGCAUCUCCUCUUAAGGGCUUCUCCCUAGGCAUGAAGAUUCCUAUGGGUUCCUUAUGAGGCAUUGAGAUUUUUAGGAAGAGAGACAAAGAAAAGAGAAAGGGUUCUCAAGAUUUUAAUCUUUCUCUUUAUGUUCCUCCUAUAUUCCUUCUCUUCUUUAGAAAGUCUGAGAGAUCCAAGGAAGGAUUCAAAUCAACCAUCAAGGAGGUGUCUUCUGCAAAGGAGCUAGCAUCCUAGUGAAGACGCAAGCCUCUGAUCAGAUCGAGGGCUUCAUGUGGAUAUCUGAAAAGAUCGGACACGUGUGACUCGUUGAAGACCUCAUCAAAUUAUCAUGAUCAUCAACCAUGGAGAUCGUCGACCCGCCAGAAGGUAUACAGAUUGGAUCUCUGAC
This 705-nucleotide long non-coding RNA is filed under the name Elaeis guineensis (African oil palm). RNAcentral's name for it is "long non-coding RNA (EGUI_LNC044907)". Lineage: Eukaryota; Viridiplantae; Streptophyta; Magnoliopsida; Arecales; Arecaceae. The record is from RNAcentral.